UGGGGAAUUUUGGACAAUGGGCGAAAGCCUGAUCCAGCAAUGCCGCGUGUGUGAAGAAGGCCUUCGGGUUGUAAAGCACUUUUGUCCGGAAAGAAAUCCUUGGCUCUAAUACAGUCGGGGGAUGACGGUACCGGAAGAAUAAGCACCGGCUAACUACGUGCCAGCAGCCGCGGUAAUACGUAGGGUGCAAGCGUUAAUCGGAAUUACUGGGCGUAAAGCGUGCGCAGGCGGUUUGCUAAGACCGAUGUGAAAUCCCCGGGCUCAACCUGGGAACUGCAUUGGUGACUGGCAGGCUAGAGUAUGGCAGAGGGGGGUAGAAUUCCACGUGUAGCAGUGAAAUGCGUAGAGAUGUGGAGGAAUACCGAUGGCGGAGGCAGCCCCCUGGGCCAAAUACUGACGCUCAUGCACGAAAGCGUGGGGAGCAAACAGGAUUAGAUACCCUGGUAGUCCACGCCCUAAAACGAUGUCAACUAGUUGUUGGGGAUUCAUUUCCUUAGUAACGUAGCUAACGCGUGAAGUUGACCGCCUGGGGAGUACGGUCGCAAGAUUAAAACUCAAAUGAAUUGACGGGGUCAUAGCUGUUUCCU
Molecule: ribosomal RNA, 587 nt
Filed under: uncultured bacterium
Lineage: Bacteria
Description: partial 16S ribosomal RNA
Rfam family: Bacterial small subunit ribosomal RNA
Source: RNAcentral